GCCGGGGAAGCGGGCGAAGCGCGAGGAGGAGGGAGGUGGCGGGGGGUGCUGGAUCAGGCCGCUGGGCUCCGGGAGGACACGUGGGGGAGGAGGGGAAGGAGGAGGAGGAAGGGGGGGCGGGCCUGCAGUUCUCGGGGCUCCCCCUGCCAGCCCCGGGGAAGCCGGAACCUCGCCAGGCAGCCGCAGACCCCGCACUGGCCACGGGGGAAGAACGGAGCCACCUUCCCCGGCCAGCCCUUGGCUCCAGGAAGGAGGGGGGGCGAGCAACGCCGCUCGGGGUCGGAGAGCAAGCGUUUUCGCUCGAGCUUUCUGUGUGACUCUCUCUCUCGGUUUAGCCUCUGUGUAAGCGGGUGGUGGUUAGGGUCUUGCGUGCGCGGGGUGGGGGGCGCCCUCGCCGGACGCCCCGCCCCUCCCCCGGUCCCCCACUUCCCUAACCCGGGCGACCUCGGUGCGUGGCUCCGACGCUUGGGCACCGAGGCCGCCCGCGGGUGCAGCCCCAGCCCCGGCGCCGAAGUGGGACAGGCCCAGAGGUUCCAUCCCUAAGCUAUGGGGUGUCUUCUCUCCUUUGGAAGGACUUUAGAGAUGGCAGUUGAGACUUGCCUGGACACCCUUCACCUGCCCAAAUCCUUCAAACCCCAUUUCCAUGAAGCUUUUGCUGAAUACUUUUGCCUCUGAACUCUUGACCCCAUAGAAACACAGGUUCAAUCCUGGUC
Molecule: long non-coding RNA, 713 nt
Organism: Bos taurus (domestic cattle)
Lineage: Eukaryota; Metazoa; Chordata; Mammalia; Artiodactyla; Bovidae
Source: Ensembl